AACGACUCAAAAAUAUUCAAAAAAACCUUCCAAGAGUCGAUCUAACUCUAUAUCUAGAUCUAGAUAAGGGACGUACUCUGGUCUUGUCUUGUAUUUCGAAUUUCAACUAAAAUCGAUUUUAAUACAGGAUACAACAGCUAUGGAAAAAUUAUUACAAAAUCUGCAACAAAAACAGGAAUUGGAAGUGCUGAAAAAUAAAAAGGCAUUUGCGCAAUUAAAUGAUAUGGUAAACAAGCUAGGAGCUACCGUUGUGGAUCUGGCCAAAUAUGUGAAUGAGGGUUCAUCAUCUUCAAAUAACCAAAGGAGUCACGAUAAUCCAAAAAGAAAUCUGCACACGAAGAUGCCCAAGUUCAACGAGAAAAAUGUAGAAGGUUGGAUAUAUCAAGUAAAAACAUACUUUCGUUAUCAUGUUACUCCUGACGAUGAAAGAAUCGUACAAGCAACCAUGAACAUGGAAGAUGAGUCGUUGGACUAGAUGGUUUGGAUAGAGGCCGAAGGGAAUCUACAAUCUUGGUCUGAUUUCUUAGAAGAUUUACAAAAAAGAUUUGGCAGCAGUCCUUACGACUUACCAACGAGACGUUUGGGAAGGCUGGUACAAACAACAUCGGUCAAAGAUUAUCAAAAUAAAUUUGAAGCUCUAGCAACUAAAGUAAGAGGAGUUUCAGAGGAGACAAAGAGACAAAUGUAUAUCACAGGUUUAAAACCAGAUAUUCAAAAAGAACUAGUGAAGGCAAGACCCGAGGUACAAGAAACUAUUUAUUCUAAUAAUAAACAACUAGUGGUUUGGGAAGGUCAACGUAACAACUAUGCCCCACCGCAUAAAAGAAUUGGAGAGGCAGGACAGAACAGAGAGACAGUUAUAAGAAACAAGUUGACACCAAUAGAAAUGAAAGCAAGAAGAGAAAAAUGACUAUGUUACAAUUGUGAUGAGAAAUGGAUUCGCGGUCAUCGUUGCAAAGGUCAAUUAUUCAGAUUAUCGGCUGAGGGAGAUGUAUUGACUGAAAUGAAUGAAGAAGAUUUUGAGGAUACAGAGGAAUUUAAAGAUGUUAUCGACAACAUACAAACAACUGAGAUAUCAAAAAUUAGCUUGUAUACAUUGAAUGGUGAACCAGAUCCAAAGACAAUUCGUUUAUGGGGGAUUCUAAAGGGUCAGAUAGUUUCUAUAUUAAUUGAUUCAGGGUCUUCUCAUAAUUUUGUGCAGGACGAAAUAGCUCGGAAACUAUGUUUGUCGACAAGUCCUAUUACGGAAUUUUCUGUAGCCACAGGAAGUGGAGAGGUAUUGAUAUGUUCUAGAAUGUGUAAAGACAGUUCCAUUAUAAUCCAAGGAGCCAUUGUUAAAACAGAUUUAUUCGUCCUGAAGAUGGAAGGUGCAAACAUGGUGUUGGGAGUACAAUAGAUGAAGUCUAUUGGCAGAAUAUUAACUGAUUGGGUCGAUAUGUCUAUGGAAUUUAUUUUUGACAAAAAUCUAACGGUUUGGAAGAGUGAACCGAUGAUAGAGGAAGAGACUUUGUCUUCAAGAGAAUUUCGUAAUUUGGUCGGAGGUACUAAACAAGCAUACCUAUGCAGAUUUGAAAUGAAAAAUUCAAAAAAUAAAGAAGUGCUUUUAGAGGAAGACAAUAGUAUUUCUGUACGAACAAAAUAAUUAUUGAACAACUUUAGGGAUAUUUUUGAAGAACCUAAAGAGUUACCAC
Molecule: long non-coding RNA, 1691 nt
Filed under: Zostera marina
Lineage: Eukaryota; Viridiplantae; Streptophyta; Magnoliopsida; Alismatales; Zosteraceae
Description: long non-coding RNA (ZMAR_LNC003522)
Source: RNAcentral